AGCCGGGCCUGUUGCAGAUGCUGAUAGGGGCCGGUCGAGAUGCCGAACCAUCCGUCGUUGGUCAGGUUGACGAUCCAGCCGGGACGAUCGUUGCCCGGAACAAUGUCACCCGGGAAGAUCGCCUCGUAGCAGAUCAAGGGCAGCAUGCGCGGCGCAUUCGGCACCGUCAUGGUCCGCCGCCGGUCGCCCGGAAUGAAGCCGCCGCGUACCUUGGUGAUCUGCACGAAGCCGAGUUUUUCCAUCGCGGACUGAAACGGCAGGUAUUCGCCGAAUGGAACCAGAUGCAGCUUGUCGUANNNNGUAUAUCGACAGGAUGGUUCCAUCGUGAUCGAUGACAUAAAUCGAAUUGUAGGCGCGGGUG
RNAcentral lists this unclassified non-coding RNA (361 nucleotides) under Hevea brasiliensis (rubber tree). Lineage: Eukaryota; Viridiplantae; Streptophyta; Magnoliopsida; Malpighiales; Euphorbiaceae. The record is from RNAcentral.